Molecule: ribosomal RNA, 254 nt
Filed under: uncultured bacterium
Lineage: Bacteria
Description: partial 16S ribosomal RNA
Rfam family: Bacterial small subunit ribosomal RNA
Source: RNAcentral
UACGUAGGGUGCGAGCGUUGCCCGGAUUUAUUGGGCGUAAAGGGCGCGUAGGCGGCCACGCACGUCCGUUGUGAAAUCGCCCGGCUCAACUGGGCGGGGUCGGCGGAUACGGCGUGGCUGGAGCAAGCUAGGGGGCAAUGGAAUUCCCGGUGUAGUGGUGGAAUGCGUAGAUAUCGGGAGGAACACCAGUGGCGAAGGCGGUUGCCUGGAGCUUUGCUGACGCUGAGGCGCGAAAGCGUGGGGGAGCGAUCCGG